Molecule: long non-coding RNA, 113 nt
Organism: Sinocyclocheilus grahami
Lineage: Eukaryota; Metazoa; Chordata; Actinopteri; Cypriniformes; Cyprinidae
Exons: 3
Source: RefSeq, a predicted model, not a curated record
CUUAAUGAAGCGUUAUGUUUUUAUUACCUUAGAUUGAGCUAUUUAUAUCUACAUACACCGCGGGUCCCCUUACAUGGAAGUCGCCACCAUGUUUCAACAGUAGCAGAUCGCGA